RNAcentral lists this ribosomal RNA (492 nucleotides) under uncultured bacterium. RNAcentral describes it as "partial 16S ribosomal RNA". It matches the Rfam family "Bacterial small subunit ribosomal RNA", at positions 29 to 507 of the family's 1533-position model. The record is from RNAcentral.
AGUGAACGCUGGCGGUAGGCCUAACACAUGCAAGUCGAACGGCAGCACAGUAAGAGCUUGCUCUUACGGGUGGCGAGUGGCGGACGGGUGAGGUAUACAUCGGAAUCUACUUUUUCGUGGGGGAUAACGUAGGGAAACUUACGCUAAUACCGCAUACGACCUACGGGUGAAAGCAGGGGAUCUUCGGACCUUGCGCGAUUGAAUGAGCCGAUGUCGGAUUAGCUAGUUGGCGGGGUAAAGGCCCACCAAGGCGACGAUCCGUAGCUGGUCUGAGAGGAUGAUCAGCCACACUGGAGCUGAGACACGGUCCAGACUCCUACGGGAGGCAGCAGUGGGGAAUAUUGGACAAAGGGCGCAAGCCUGAUCCAGCCAUACCGCGUGGGUGAAGAAGGCCUUCGGGUUGUAAAGCCCUUUUGUUGGGAAAGAAAAGCAGCAGGUUAAUACCCCGCUGUUCUGACGGUACCCAAAGAAGAAGCACCGGCUAACUUCGUG